RNAcentral lists this ribosomal RNA (253 nucleotides) under uncultured bacterium. RNAcentral describes it as "partial 16S ribosomal RNA". It matches the Rfam family "Bacterial small subunit ribosomal RNA", at positions 524 to 776 of the family's 1533-position model. The record is from RNAcentral.
UACGUAGGGGGCAAGCGUUAUCCGGAAUUACUGGGUGUAAAGGGAGCGUAGACGGUAAUGUAAGUCUGGAGUGAAAGGCGGGGGCCCAACCCCCGGACUGCUCUGGAAACUAUGUUACUAGAGUGCAGGAGAGGUAAGUGGAAUUCCUAGUGUAGCGGUGAAAUGCGUAGAUAUUAGGAGGAACACCAGUGGCGAAGGCGGCUUACUGGACUGUAACUGACGUUGAGGCUCGAAAGCGUGGGGAGCAAACAGG